RNAcentral lists this ribosomal RNA (1327 nucleotides) under uncultured eukaryote. Its description in RNAcentral is "partial small subunit ribosomal RNA". It matches the Rfam family "Eukaryotic small subunit ribosomal RNA", at positions 1 to 1349 of the family's 1831-position model. The record is from RNAcentral.
UAAUCUGGUUGAUCCUGCCAGUAGUCAUAUGCUUGUCUCAAAGAUUAAGCCAUGCAUGUCUAAGUAUAAAUAGUAUACAGUGAAACUGCGAAUGGCUCAUUAAAACAGUUAUAGUUUAUUUGAUAAUGGAAGGCUACAUGGAUAACCGUGGUAAUUCUAGAGCUAAUACAUGCUGUCAAACCUGACUUCAUGAAAGGUUGUAUUUAUUAGAUAUAAGCCAAUAGUCCUCGGACUUUUGUGGUGAAUCAUAGUAACUGAUCGAAUCUCCAACUGGAGAUAAAUCAUUUCAUUCAAGUUUCUGCCCUAUCAGCUUUCGAUGGUAGUGUAUUGGACUACCAUGGCGGUAACGGGUAACGGAGAAUUAGGGUUCGGUUCCGGAGAGGGAGCCUGAGAAACGGCUACCACAUCUAAGGAAGGCAGCAGGCGCGUAAAUUACCCAAUCCUGAUUCAGGGAGGUAGUGACAAGAAAUAACAACCUGGGGACCUCAUGGUCUUACGGGAUUGCAAUGAGAACAAUUUAAACGACUUAACGAGGAACAAUUAGAGGGCAAGUCUGGUGCCAGCAGCCGCGGUAAUUCCAGCUCUAAUAGUGUAUAUUAAUGUUGUUGCAGUUAAAAAGCUCGUAGUUGAACUUCUGGCUGUUGCUGGCGUUGGCUUCGGUCAUGCCAGUAGCGGUCAUCCGUCUGCGAACCGUAUUAGCACUUCAGUGGGCGGUGCGGGGAGUAGACAUUUUACCUUGAAAAAAUUAGAGUGUUUCAGGCAGGCCUUUGCCCGAAUACAUUAGCAUGGAAUAAUGGAAUAGGACUCGUCCUUUUUGUUGGUUAUUGGUUACGAGUAACGAGUAAUGAUUAAUAGGGACAGUUGGGGGCAUUAGUAUUUAAUUGUCAGAGGUGAAAUUCUUGGAUUUAUUAAAGACUAACUUAUGCGAAAGCAUUUGCCAAGGAUGUUUUCAUUAAUCAAGAACGAAAGUUAGGGGAUCAAAGACGAUCAGAUACCGUCCUAGUCUUAACUAUAAACUAUGCCGACUUGGUCUCCGUCAAGCCUCUUUAAUUUGAUUUGGGUGCCGUAUGAGAAAUCAAAGUCUUUGGGUUCCGGGGGGAGUAUGGUCGCAAGGUUGAAACUUAAAGGAAUAGACGGAACAUCACUACCAGGUGUGGAUCCUGCGGCUUAAUUUGACUCAACACGGGGAAACUUACCAGCGCAAAACAAGGGUGGGAUUGACAGAUUGAGAGCUCUUUCUUGAUUCUUUGGGUGGUGGUGCAUGGCCGUUCUUAGUUGGUGGAGUGAUUUGUCUGCUUAAUUGCGUUAACGAACGAGACCUCAACCU